Molecule: ribosomal RNA, 396 nt
Filed under: uncultured bacterium
Lineage: Bacteria
Description: partial 16S ribosomal RNA
Rfam family: Bacterial small subunit ribosomal RNA
Source: RNAcentral
AUACGUAGGGGGCAAGCGUUAUCCGGAUUUACUGGGUGUAAAGGGAGUGUAGGUGGUCAUGCAAGUCAGAUGUGAAAUUCCGGGGCUCAACCCCGGACUGCAUUUGAAACUGCGUGACUGGAGUGCAGGAGAGGUAAGCGGAAUUCCUAGUGGAGCGGUGGAAUGCGUAGAUAUUAGGAGGAACACCAGUGGCGAAGGCGGCUUACUGGACUGUAACUGACACUGAGGCUCGAAAGCGUGGGGAGCAAACAGGAUUAGAUACCAUGGUAGUCCACGCCGUAAACGAUGAAUACUAGGUGUCGGGGGGCAUCCGCCCCUCGGUGCCGCAGCCAACGCAAUAAGUAUUCCACCUGGGGAGUACGUUCGCAAGAAUGAAACUCAAAUGAAUUGACGGGG